UACGUAGGUCCCGAGCGUUGUCCGGAUUUAUUGGGCGUAAAGGGAACGCAGGCGGUCUUUUAAGUCUGAUGUGAAAGCCUGCGGCUUAACCGGAGUAGUGCAUUGGAAACUGGGAGACUUGAGUGCAGAAGAGGAGAGUGGAACUCCAUGUGUAGCGGUGAAAUGCGUAGAUAUAUGGAAGAACACCAGUGGCGAAAGCGGCUCUCUGGUCUGUAACUGACGCUGAGGUUCGAAAGCGUGGGUAGCAAACAGG
Molecule: ribosomal RNA, 253 nt
Filed under: uncultured bacterium
Lineage: Bacteria
Description: partial 16S ribosomal RNA
Rfam family: Bacterial small subunit ribosomal RNA
Source: RNAcentral